CAGAGUUCGUGCCCUCACGGGUAGAUCUCCCACCCUGUGUUAUUAUACCUUUGUUGCUUUGGCGGGCCGCCCUCGGCUACCGGCCCCGGCUGGUACGCGCCCGCCAGAGGACCCCAAACUCGUUUGUUUAGUGAUGUCUGAGUACUAUAUAAUAGUUA
Molecule: unclassified non-coding RNA, 158 nt
Filed under: uncultured Helotiales
Lineage: Eukaryota; Fungi; Ascomycota; Leotiomycetes; Helotiales
Description: sequence contains ITS1
Source: RNAcentral